Molecule: long non-coding RNA, 1046 nt
Organism: Rosa chinensis
Lineage: Eukaryota; Viridiplantae; Streptophyta; Magnoliopsida; Rosales; Rosaceae
Exons: 4
Source: RefSeq, a predicted model, not a curated record
UCAGCCGACUUUUCUCUCUCUCUCUCUCCCCCGAACCCGAGCUGAAAACAGAGCAAAUUUGCUCCGAUCGAUUUCUCCAUCCUCAGGCCACCUAAAGACGUCGGACCACCUCCAUUAGCUUCGCCUCAACCUUGCGCAGCUGCUGGUUGCAACCUUGCGCCGCGGAACGUCCGGUAUCGGCGGCGGGAAUACGUUUUCUAUUUCCGGCCGAGUUGAGUUCGAACCGAGAUUUCUCCUAUCUCCGGCCACAAAAACUCGAGUUCUUUGGCUUGUUGAACUCCCCUUGAGUUUCUGAUCAAGAUUACAAAAGACCCGAACCGAAGGUGAAUGUUUUCACGCUCGUCGGAGCUCUCAUCGGAUUCUGCAAAAAUUCCGGCCAAACCGGACUGUUUUAGGUAAUUUCGACCACUUCCACUCAUUUUCUGACUUCGUGCUAGUUAUGAAAGUUGCUCAAAAUGAUGAAACGAAGAGGAAAAGCUCGGCCCCGACACCAUAGGCGGUGGUCGGCGGCGGAUCUGUCCCAAACUCCGGCGACCUUUUCCGGCCACUUUCGGGGGUCCCAAGGUGUUUGACGGUUUGAUUUGGCGGACGAUUUGUGAUUCAUAUUUCGAGCUGUUAAGAAGACGCAGCGGGAUUUGAGGGGUUUUUUUGUGCAGGUUAGAUUAUUGAUUAAUCGUCGUCGAAGCUGAGGUGGACUUUCCGUCACGUGGGUGUAGAAGGGCGCUUUUACUUGUAGUCUUCCGCUGUGUAGUGAGUUGGGGACGUUGAACCGAGCGCGUGCAUAUGUGGUUCGUAAAAAUCGGACUUCGUAUGCAAGAGUUAUGGCUGAAAUAGUAAAGUUACUGUUCAUAGUAACUUUUUAAUAAAAAUGGAAAGUUACCCCGAUCUCUCUUCUCCGGUUCGCCCCAUUCCCUUCCUCCUCCGAUUGCCGGCGAUUCCGGCCACCACAGGGCGUGCCACCGGUCACCAGAGGAGCGCCUCCUCCCUCCGAGCACCCCAGCAGCCUUGGUUUUCCACGAUUUGGCCGGAAAACCACGGAUCGAAGU